RNAcentral lists this ribosomal RNA (480 nucleotides) under uncultured bacterium. Its description in RNAcentral is "bacterial SSU rRNA". It matches the Rfam family "Bacterial small subunit ribosomal RNA", at positions 29 to 506 of the family's 1533-position model. The record is from RNAcentral.
UUGAACGCUGGCGGAAUGCUUUACACAUGCAAGUCGAGCGGCAGCGCGGGGCAACCUGGCGGCGAGCGGCGAACGGGUGAGUAAUAUAUCGGAACGUACCCUGUCGUGGGGGAUAACACAUCGAAAGCGUAGCUAAUACCGCAUACGCCCUGAGGGGGAAAGCGGGGGAUCGCAAGACCUCGCGUGAUUGGAGCGGCCGAUGUCGGAUUAGCUAGUUGGUGGGGUAAAGGCCUACCAAGGCGACGAUCCGUAGCGGGUCUGAGAGGAUGAUCCGCCACACUGGGACUGAGACACGGCUCAGACUCCUACGGGAGGCAGCAGUGGGGAAUUUUGGACAAUGGGGGCAACCCUGAUCCAGCCAUUCCGCGUGAGUGAAGAAGGCCUUCGGGUUGUAAAGCUCUUUCAGCCGGAACGAAACGGUACGCUCUAACAUAGCGUGCUAAUGACGGUACCGGCAGAAGAAGCACCGGCUAACUACGU